Long non-coding RNA from Zalophus californianus (California sea lion), 1569 nucleotides. RefSeq lists it as uncharacterized. The transcript is spliced from 3 exons. The record is from RefSeq and is a predicted model, not a curated record. Lineage: Eukaryota; Metazoa; Chordata; Mammalia; Carnivora; Otariidae.
CAAGGUGACCUUCCACAAAUCAUGUGUCCACCAGUCUGUCACUGAUGCUUGACCUUCCACCAUUAGAGAUUCAUUCUUUUGUAACUUGGAGGUGAGGAAGACUUCCAGAGUCUCCUCUUGAAAUGUAAAUACCUCUGGGAAGGCCACCAAUAGCUGAUAGCUAAUAAAUUGCAAGGGCUGUUUCUCCAAGAGCAUUAAUAACCAACAGUGUGGUGGUAUGGAGAGGAAGCCGAGGCAGAGAGACUUUGGAAUUCAUUGAAAUAGGAGGGUAAAGUUGGGACUGAUGUGAGAAUGGGUCCACCCCGUUUUAAACAUUCCACAAAUGCUACUAUUUACCUAUCCAACUAAAUAUAUAAGAACAUGGCCCAGACACAUUGGUGAGAAAUGCCCUUCCCAAGGCAUGAACAAAUGUUUGGAAGCCCAAAGGGAAAGUGCUGCUCACACCCAUCUGCCAUCAGAGGAUGCCUAGCCUUGGGCUUUCUGUGUAAUGGGCAUCGAGGCUUAGUUGGAGCCAGGUCCCCACCUCUACCUCAAGGCUUCAUUUGCAUGAGUUGACCUGCAUGGACACUUCUGUUUAUGGCUGAAGAAUGGAGGAGUUUGUACUACUAUUUUGUGGGUAGAAGACAGGGAAGGAGGAAACUGAACAACAGAGGGGAUGGUGUAUCAUCUGCCUACCCCGACAGUGGCCUUUGUGCCCUUGUAGAGCAAUGGAAGAGUUUGGACCAGAAGCAGAGGGGCUGAUUCUCCAAGAGGCUUCAUGAGACUCAAAAUGCAAGGAGUGGGCUUAGGGGCUCGGCGAAUCUGCUCCUGCUUCUUGUGACAUCCAGACGUUGCUGGGUAUGCUGGAAGAUAACUGCCCCACAGCUAUCAGCAUCCUCAUGAGGGAUGUUGCCAACAUGGGCAGCGGCAAGGCUCCUAAAAGCCACCUCAGGGUCACUGGACAUGGGCUAAGGGAAGUCAGAGAUGCAGAAGAAGGAGGAGGGGGAGACUCAAUAUGGGAAAUGUAGGACUCCAAGAACUGAAGCAAUGUGCCCAACGUCACAGAGUUAGAAUGUAAGAAUGUGGACUGAAAACCAGGUCUGUGCGGCUCUGAGGUCUGUGCUCCUUCCACUGGUGGAGUGAGAAAGACAUGGGCUCUGAGCAGUCUUCAAUCCCUUACCAGGUGAAUUAACCAUAAAGUGAACUCUUCCUGGUAAGAUGAGGACUGUGGCAGGAUUCUCUAGCAACUCAUCUCGCUGCUUUCUGGGCCAUCAUCUGCGACCAUUACUGUGUACUGCGGGACAGAGUGUUAAUUUGAGUAUGUUUUGGAGCCAAGAAUCAUUAGACAGGUAGAAAUUUGAUUUGAGUGUAUCUGGAUACAUAAAAUGAGUCAAAGAGAAGUGAUUUUUGGAUAAUCUGAUGAUUUGCCGUAUUCGGACAUCAAUAUGGAUCAUUGAGACUUGAUGGGGUUAUGCUGACUACAACACUGGUAGACUGUGUUGCCAAGUAAUUCACUGGUAGGGGCACCUGGGUGGCUCAGUCAGCUAAGUGUCUGCCUUCAGCUCAGGUCAUGAUCUCAGGGUCUUGGGA